UUCAGCAGCCAUACCACCUGCAGUUCAGACCAUCUGAAGCUUUGUAGGUUUGGGCCUGGCCAGUACUUGGAUUAGAGACAAACUGGGAAAAGCUUGGUUGCUACUGGAA
Molecule: ribosomal RNA, 109 nt
Filed under: Paramormyrops kingsleyae
Lineage: Eukaryota; Metazoa; Chordata; Actinopteri; Osteoglossiformes; Mormyridae
Source: RNAcentral